This 553-nucleotide ribosomal RNA is filed under the name uncultured bacterium. Its description in RNAcentral is "partial 16S ribosomal RNA". It matches the Rfam family "Bacterial small subunit ribosomal RNA", at positions 355 to 900 of the family's 1533-position model. The record is from RNAcentral.
UAGGGAAUCUUCCACAAUGGACGAAGUCUGAUGGAGCAACGCCGCGUGAGUGGUGAAGGGUUUCGGCUCGUAAAACUCUGUUGUUGGAGAAGAACGGGUGUCAGAGUAACUGUUGACAUCGUGACGGUAUCCAACCAGAAAGCCACGGCUAACUACGUGCCAGCAGCCGCGGUAAUACGUAGGUGGCAAGCGUUGUCCGGAUUUAUUGGGCGUAAAGCGAGCGCAGGCGGUUUUUUAGGUCUGAUGUGAAAGCCUUCGGCUUAACCGGAGAAGUGCAUCGGAAACCGGGAGACUUGAGUGCAGAAGAGGACAGUGGAACUCCAUGUGUAGCGGUGAAAUGCGUAGAUAUAUGGAAGAACACCAGUGGCGAAGGCGGCUGUCUGGUCUGCAACUGACGCUGAGGCUCGAAAGCAUGGGUAGCGAACAGGAUUAGAUACCCUGGUAGUCCAUGCCGUAAACGAUGAGUGCUAAGUGUUGGAGGGUUUCCGCCCUUCAGUGCUGCAGCUAACGCAUUAAGCACUCCGCCUGGGGAGUACGACCGCAAGGUUGAAAC